ACACAUGCAAGUCGAACGAAGAGUUAUUAAAUGAGAGCUUCGGCAGGAUUUUGAUAAAUCUUAGUGGCGGACGGGUGAGUAACGUGUGGGCAACCUGCCUUAUACUGGGGAAUAAUCACUGGAAACGGUGACUAAUACCGCAUAAUGUCUUUUUACGGCAUCGUGAGAAGAAGAAAGGAGCAAUCCGGUAAAAGAUGGGCCCGCAUCUGAUUAGCUAGUUGGUGAGAUAACAGCCCACCAAGGCGACGAUCAGUAGCCGACCUGAGAGGGUGAUCGGCCACAUUGGGACUGAGACACGGCCCAAACUCCUACGGGAGGCAGCAGUGGGGAAUAUUGCACAAUGGGGGAAACCCUGAUGCAGCAACGCCGCGUGAAGGAAGAAGGUUUUCGGAUCGUAAACUUCUAUCAAAAGGGACGAAACAAAUGACGGUACCUUAAUAAGAAGCCCCGGCUAACUACGUGCCAGCAGCCGCGGUAAUACGUAGGGGGCAAGCGUUAUCCGGAGUUACUGGGUGUAAAGGGAGCGUAGGCGGCAUGGUAAGUAAGAUGUGAAAGCCCGAGGCUUAACCUCGAGGAUUGCAUUUUAAACUAUCAAGCUAGAGUACAGGAGAGGAAAGCGGAAUUCCUAGUGUAGCGGUGAAAUGCGUAGAUAUUAGGAAGAACACCAGUGGCGAAGGCGGCUUUCUGGACUGAAACUGACGCUGAGGCUCGAAAGCGUGGGGAGCAAACAGGAUUAGAUACCCUGGUAGUCCACGCCGUAAACGAUGAGUGCUAGGUGUCGGGG
Molecule: ribosomal RNA, 784 nt
Filed under: uncultured bacterium
Lineage: Bacteria
Description: bacterial SSU rRNA
Rfam family: Bacterial small subunit ribosomal RNA
Source: RNAcentral